UCCAUGAAAAUAUUUAUGUGUGCGUGU
Molecule: small RNA, 27 nt
Filed under: Bombyx mori (domestic silkworm)
Lineage: Eukaryota; Metazoa; Arthropoda; Insecta; Lepidoptera; Bombycidae
Description: ovarian small RNA-26976
Source: RNAcentral